AGUGAACGCUGGCGGUAGGCCUAACACAUGCAAGUCGAACGGCAGCACAGUAAGAGCUUGCUCUUACGGGUGGCGAGUGGCGGACGGGUGAGGAAUACAUCGGAAUCUACUUUUUCGUGGGGGAUAACGUAGGGAAACUUACGCUAAUACCGCAUACGACCUACGGGUGAAAGCAGUGGAUCUUCGGACCUUGCGCGAUUGAAUGAGCCGAUGUCGGAUUAGCUAGUUGGCGGGGUAAAGGCCCACCAAGGCGACGAUCCGUAGCUGGUCUGAGAGGAUGAUCAGCCACACUGGAACUGAGACACGGUCCAGACUCCUACGGGAGGCAGCAGUGGGGAAUAUUGGACAAUGGGCGCAAGCAUGAUCCAGCCAUACCGCGUGGGUGAAGAAGGCCUUCGGGUUGUAAAGCCCUUUUGUUGGGAAAGAAAAGCAGCAGGUUAAUACCCCGCUGUUCUGACGGUAACCAAAGAAUAAGCACCGGCUAACUUCGUG
Molecule: ribosomal RNA, 492 nt
Filed under: uncultured bacterium
Lineage: Bacteria
Description: partial 16S ribosomal RNA
Rfam family: Bacterial small subunit ribosomal RNA
Source: RNAcentral